AAGAUAUUAGUAAAACCAUUACAUAACUUUGUCAAAGUUAAAUUAUAGAUACCAAUCUAUAUAUCUUA
Molecule: transfer RNA, 68 nt
Filed under: Grammomys macmillani (Macmillan's thicket rat)
Lineage: Eukaryota; Metazoa; Chordata; Mammalia; Rodentia; Muridae
Description: tRNA-Asp
Source: RNAcentral